GAUGAACGCUGGCGGCGUGCCUAAUACAUGCAAGUCGAGCGAACGGACGAGAAGCUUGCUUCUCUGAUGUUAGCGGCGGACGGGUGAGUAACACGUGGAUAACCUACCUAUAAGACUGGGAUAACUUCGGGAAACCGGAGCUAAUACCGGAUGAUAUUUUGAACCGCAUGGUUCAAAGGUGAAAGACGGUCUUGCUGUCACUUAUAGAUGGAUCCGCGCUGCAUUAGCUAGUUGGUAAGGUAACGGCUUACCAAGGCAACGAUGCAUAGCCGACCUGAGAGGGUGAUCGGCCACACUGGAACUGAGACACGGUCCAGACUCCUACGGGAGGCAGCAGUAGGGAAUCUUCCGCAAUGGGCGAAAGCCUGACGGAGCAACGCCGCGUGAGUGAUGAAGGCCUUCGGAUCGUAAAACUCUGUUAUUAGGGAAGAACAUAUGUGUAAGUAACUGUGCACAUCUUGACGGUACCUAAUCAGAAAGCCACGGCUAACUACGUG
Molecule: ribosomal RNA, 497 nt
Filed under: uncultured bacterium
Lineage: Bacteria
Description: partial 16S ribosomal RNA
Rfam family: Bacterial small subunit ribosomal RNA
Source: RNAcentral